Molecule: ribosomal RNA, 119 nt
Filed under: Lepisosteus oculatus (spotted gar)
Lineage: Eukaryota; Metazoa; Chordata; Actinopteri; Semionotiformes; Lepisosteidae
Source: RNAcentral
GGCAACAGCCUUACCUCCUUGUAACCUGAUCUCAUUAGAUCUUCAGAACUUAAGCAAGGCUGGGACUGAUCCAAUACUGGGAUGGCUGACCUCCAAAGAAAACUGGUUUGCUGCUGUAA